GUCUGACGGAGCACGCCGCGUGAGUGAUGAAGGUUUUCGGAUCGUAAAGCUCUGUUGUUAGGGAAGAACAAGUGCGAGAGUAACUGCUCGCACCUUGACGGUACCUAACCAGAAAGCCACGGCUAACUACGUGCCAGCAGCCGCGGUAAUACGUAGGUGGCAAGCGUUGUCCGGAAUUAUUGGGCGUAAAGGGCUCGCAGGCGGUUUCUUAAGUCUGAUGUGAAAGCCCCCGGCUCAACCGGGGAGGGUCAUUGGAAACUGGGAAACUUGAGUGCAGAAGAGGAGAGUGGAAUUCCACGUGUAGCGGUGAAAUGCGUAGAGAUGUGGAGGAACACCAGUGGCGAAGGCGACUCUCUGGUCUGUAACUGACGCUGAGGAGCGAAAGCGUGGGGAGCGAACAGGAUUAGAUACCCCCAGUAGUCAA
RNAcentral lists this ribosomal RNA (424 nucleotides) under Bacillus sp. (in: firmicutes). RNAcentral describes it as "bacterial SSU rRNA". It matches the Rfam family "Bacterial small subunit ribosomal RNA", at positions 381 to 797 of the family's 1533-position model. The record is from RNAcentral. Lineage: Bacteria; Bacillati; Bacillota; Bacilli; Caryophanales; Bacillaceae.